This 3684-nucleotide long non-coding RNA is filed under the name Homo sapiens (human). RNAcentral's name for it is "HSALNT0381464". Lineage: Eukaryota; Metazoa; Chordata; Mammalia; Primates; Hominidae. The record is from RNAcentral.
UUGCAACCUCCGCCUCCUGGGUUCAAGCAAUUCUCCUGCCUCAGCCUCCUGAGUAGCUGGGAUUACAGGCGCCCGCCACCACUCCCAGCUAAUUUUUGUAUUUUUAGUAGGGACGAGGUUUCACCAUGUUGGUCAGGCUGGUCUCAAACUCCUGACCUCGUGAUCUGCCCUCCUUGGCCUUCCAAAGUGCUGGGAUUACAGGCGUGAUGGAGAUGAUACUCCCUAAAUCACAAGGGUGUGGUGUGAAGAUGAAAUGGCUGCACGUGACAGAGGAGUUGGAGAACAGGAAGCAAGUGGAUUACUUGGAUGAACUGUGAUGGGCCCAAGAAGAACUAAGCCAAUCACUCCAGGGGGCGUUUUCCCAGGAUCCAGGCAGAGAGCUGAUUCCAGCAUCCACGUUGUAUCCCCCUCCCGCUGUGGCCGGGGUCUCCAAGAGCCGGGCACCCACUGCAGAGCUUCCAAGCCCAGGCCCAUUUGAACACAGGAGGACUUUUGAGGUUCAUUUAACCCCAAAAUCAGUGAUUCUACAUCUCAAGCUCAUAUUUUGAAGUGUUUACGGACCAGGGAUUUGCCAAUUAUUCUGGAUGGGCACAGGGAAGGGGCCCUCAGAUCCUGCAGAGGGAGCAUCUGAAAGACAAUGAGACCCUGUACACAACCAAGCUGAGCCUCCUGUAAGCACAUCCUCUGGGUGUCACUAUGCGAAAAGACUCUUUGUCUGUUUACAUUGCACAACGAAUUGUCCCUCUGAUUGUCCUAGCGUUGGUGCAUGCAUGGAUCCAGGAAGAGCAGGUAUUUGGACCCAACGAGACAGGUUCAUCUUGGCAGUUUGUCUCCUGUGGUUGCUUUGUGCCUGCCCCGUAUCUAUCCACCCAACUUCUGGCAGCAAUCCCUCCAGGACCCACCUCUGUCUUCAUGGUUUGUGUGUUCUGAUCCUGCUCCUUGGCCCCAGAAUACACCCUCCACAUCUAAGCUAUGCAGUGCCUCAUCCCCACAGCUGCAGCGAUUGGUUUAGGAAUGGGAAAAUAAUCCAAUCAAAGUAAGAUUGUCUAAUAUCUGAUCCCGCUUACCCCGGAGCCAGAAGUCCCACCUUUCCAGGCUCCUCCAUGUUCCUUUCUGGAGCAAUGAGGAGGAAGGUUCAUUCCCUUCUCAGGGAACUUGCUGCGGUGUCCCAGUCCUGACUGUCCCCUCUCUACCCCUGCCUGUGGCUCUCCCGUCUCCUGGCAUUCUAACCUGCCACUGAAUUCUUCCCACGCCAAACGCAGGUUAGGAACCUAAGCUCGGAUGAAAUGCUGGCUUAGACCUCAUUGCUACUGAGAAGCAGAAACCACACUUUUUAGUUGGUAGAGGUGGAUGUGGAUUGGGGCCAUAAAGUUUCCUCAAUCAUUGAAUAAGGAUUUCAUUAUUUGGACUAACUAAAUACAUUAGAUUAUUUAUACUAACUAAAUAAAUUAGAUUUAUUUUUCGAAGUUUAAAAUCAUUUUCAAUAGUGACGAAAAAGGCUGUAGAUGAGAUGGGAGAAUCUUUCGACGCCAAAUUCUUCCCAUCUCCUGCCUAGUAUGUAUCACUACACCUUGCCCAGAGAGACUGUAGGGGUGCUCAGCAAAAACCAUGGCUGGUUGAUUCCCUGGAAAAAGGGGUGCUGUCCCAGGGAGCUCUGUGCCCUUCCUGCCAACACUGGGGUCUAGAGGAGGCAAGUUCCCCUCUGAAGAGAGGGAGCAGGUCUAGAGAAGAACCAGAGGAGCUCAGCUGAGAUAUGGUGUAUGGAUUGGAUUUUGGUAGAAGAUGGGAAGAACCAAACACCUGAGAAACCACUUUGAAGAUCGGGGUCAGAGUAAGGCCUAACACAUAGUUGGCUCCCAGUAAUUAUUGGUUGAUUGAACAGCUCAAAGAGCAACUCGACCAAGAACACUGGACUGGGAGUCCAGUUACUUGGAUCUUGCAUUCCUGAUUUAUUUUUAUUUUAUAUGUAUUUUUUCUAUUUUUUUGAGACGAAGUCUCACUCACUCUGUCGCCCAGGCUGGACUACAAUGGCACGAUCUCGGCUCACUGCAAACUCUGCCUCCCAGGUUCAAGCGAUUCUCCUGCCUCAGCCUCUCGAGUAGCUAGGAUUACAGGCAUGCACCACCACGCUGGCUAAUUUUUGUAUUUUUAGUAGAGACGGGGUUUUGCCAUGUUGGCCAUGCUGGUGUCCACCUCCUGACCUCAGUUGAUCUUCCUGCCUCAGCCUUCCAAAAUGUUGGGAUUACAGGCGUGAGCCACCGUGCCUGGCCGUGAUUUAUUUUUUUUGUGUAUGUUUGUUUUUGUCAACUUGCUGUGUGACCUUAAGCAAGUUACUUAACUUCUCUGGGCUUCACUUUCCAUGGAUGAACAUUGUAAAGAGGCUGGAGAGAGAUGAGGACUAGGUACAGGCUUUAGAGGAGAGCCACCGCCCCGGACUUCUCCCUCUGUCACCCCGCUUUCCAUGACCCUCCUUGCCUGACUUUGUGACUCCUUGCCUCGCUAUCAAAACAAGUGCUGCAAUCUCAGUGCUUUCCAAGAGCCCUGCAUUGUUAGAAACUUCCCAGCACGCAGCAAAGGCUGCUGCAAUACUCGCUCUGCCUGCCUUUGCCCUGCGCUUCCUACUUACCCUCCUUUUGUUUCUCCCAAACAUCUGUCCCUGACUAUGCUCAUCUCAUGUUUGUCCUCAGCUGCUGAAAGGGCCACGUUUGUUUUCAUUACAAAUAAGACCACCGAGUGGGCUCCUGGCGUGGGGGCGGGACCAGCCGCGCGCAGUCUUCAGAGGCAGCCCCCCAGGCUGUCUCUGGAGGGUGUGUCUCUGCUUCCCUUUCCCCGUGUUUAUUUUCAGACGAAGCCAAGUGGCCCGGGGGGACCCUCCGGACUCCCAGCCUUCAGAGAGGAGGGCAGCUCGGGCUUUCGCCGCAGUGCUUCCUGCCCGUCACGUGUGUGCUCCUAGCCGGGGUCGGGGGAGCUGGUAUCUUGGCCCUUCUGGGAGGACGCGCACAGCCCGAGGAGGCAGAGCCCCAGACGGGAAUGGGCUUUUCAGAGGUGGGGUGCGGGCGAGGGGACGAUGCAUUAUUUUUAAUAUUUGAUUUAUUUUUCCAACUGGACUUCUUCCCGGGGCUCUUUCUGGGCCCAGCUGCCUUUGUGAUCCCGCGCCCCGGUCCUCGGCCUCUCACCUCCAGCGCCGGGGCGCCCCCUGCUGUCGGAAGCGGCUGUGACCGGGCAGAGGUGCUAUCUGGGACUCUGGGUUCUCAGCCCGGGGACAGCGAACCGAGGGGCAGAUGAUCCAUCAGAAAAGAGCCGGCACUGCCCAGCCCCGCGCCCCUGCCCCUGCCUUUUUCCGGGAGCGCGCCGCGCCGCACCCGCUACGGCCGCUUGACCCCAUCUUUGAGCCCGGCCCCAAGCUCUGGGACCGUCGUGCCCCUCAUCAAGGAAGAGCCAAGGACCCCAAGGAGAAGAGAAAGGAGUUCAUGAAGGCAGAAAUGCCUGGGGCCCACGAACAUCCCAGUGUGGCCCUGGACGGGACAUCAUGCUGGGCAACACAGCUAAAAUGCGGGUGAAGACCAGAUUUCUUGCACAUGGCGGUGACGGGAUGCUCCCUAGAGAGCUUCAAGUGGAUUCUUUGCUUUUUAUUUUCUCUCUUAAUAAAAAUGUAUGAUGUUUACAUUGUCAGAGAACAAACAG